GACGAACGCUGGCGGCGUGCUUAACACAUGCAGGUCGAACGGAAAGGCCCUGCUUUUGUGGGGUGCUCGAGUGGCGAACGGGUGAGUAACACGUGAGUAACCUGCCCUUGACUUUGGGAUAACUUCAGGAAACUGGGGCUAAUACCGGAUAGGAGCUCCUGCUGCAUGGUGGGGGUUGGAAAGUUUCGGCGGUUGGGGAUGGACUCGCGGCUUAUCAGCUUGUUGGUGGGGUAGUGGCUUACCAAGGCUUUGACGGGUAGCCGGCCUGAGAGGGUGACCGGCCACAUUGGGACUGAGAUACGGCCCAGACUCCUACGGGAGGCAGCAGUGGGGAAUAUUGCACAAUGGGCGGAAGCCUGAUGCAGCAACGCCGCGUGCGGGAUGACGGCCUUCGGGUUGUAAACCGCUUUCGCCUGUGACGAAGCGUGAGUGACGGUAAUGGGUAAAGAAGCACCGGCUAGCUACGUG
RNAcentral lists this ribosomal RNA (468 nucleotides) under uncultured bacterium. RNAcentral's name for it is "partial 16S ribosomal RNA". It matches the Rfam family "Bacterial small subunit ribosomal RNA", at positions 28 to 507 of the family's 1533-position model. The record is from RNAcentral.